RNAcentral lists this ribosomal RNA (319 nucleotides) under Gambierdiscus australes. RNAcentral describes it as "partial Bacterial small subunit ribosomal RNA". It matches the Rfam family "Bacterial small subunit ribosomal RNA", at positions 24 to 345 of the family's 1533-position model. The record is from RNAcentral. Lineage: Eukaryota; Dinophyceae; Gonyaulacales; Pyrocystaceae.
UCAGAUUGAACGCUGGCGGCAGGCCUAACACAUGCAAGUCGAACGGUAACAGGCAAGAGCUUGCUUUUGCGCUGACGAGUGGCGGACGGGUGAGUAAUGCUUGGGAACUUGCCUUUGCGAGGGGGAUAACAGUUGGAAACGACUGCUAAUACCGCAUAAUGUCUUCGGACCAAACGGGGCUUCGGCUCCGGCGCAAAGAGAGGCCCAAGUGAGAUUAGCUAGUUGGUAAGGUAACGGCUUACCAAGGCGACGAUCUCUAGCUGUUCUGAGAGGAAGAUCAGCCACACUGGGACUGAGACACGGCCCAGACUCCUACGGG